CAGCCACAGCAAUGUGGGAUCCAAGCUGUGUCUGCAACCUACACCACAGCUCAUGGCAAUGCCAUAUCCUUAACCCACUGAGCAAGGCUAGGGAUCGAACCUGCAUCCUCAUGGACACUAUAUUGGGUUCUUACCCCACUGAGCCACAAUGGGAACUCCAAAUAUAAUAAAGUUAUUUCAAUAUAUAAAAUGAAGACUAGUGGUUUCACAUCCAAAAGAUAGCUAAAAUGUCUAACACUUUGGUCUAUUUAUCAAAAGUUGUUUUCCCCUUAAAAUUUUAUUAUAUAUUUUUAUAUAAAAAUAAUAUUUUUCAUAUUGUAUUAUAAGCAGAUACAUUUAUUGGUUAUAUGAGAUUUGAUGAUAAAAUGCUGCUUUAUUUGCCUAUUAUCCUGUGGUUUGAUUUCUAAAUAUUUCUCCAAAUUUUCAUUUUUAUUAUUAAUCCUGUGAAAGAAAAAUUAUGCAUUAUUUUUGUUUGUUUUUCUGUCACAUGUUCAGCAUGUGGAAGUUCCUGGGCCAGGGGUCAAACCUGUGCCACACAGCAGUGACCUAAACCACAGCAGUGACAAUAAUGGAUCCUUAACUAGCUGUGCCACAGGAGAACUCCUACAUUAAGUUUUUUACAGUCAUAAUUCUAAAAUCAAAUUAGUUAAGGCAAUAUUGAAACCAAAGAUGAAUUUGAGGGAGUUUUGGUAUAUUGUCAAAAAUGUUUUAUGAAAAUUUGUAUUUUUUUAACAUGAACUUCCAUAAAAUGGUAAAGGUAUGUCUACCUGUUCACAUGGUAAUUGCUGUAUUAGCCAAUAAUAUGGAUAAUAAAUAAAACAUACAGGAUAAAAAAGAUAAUAAAUACAAUUCAAAUAAAAUAGAAGCCAAAGAUGAUUUUUCAAGGGAUCACAGAAAAUAAUAUUUGAAUUUUGAAUUUUGUACAGCCAUUAACUACAACCAAUCAGACUGCCAGGUGACCAUGUAAUACAUUUUGUAUAUGCUGAGGAAAAGUUGUAAAUAUAUAAAUAUCUGUGUUCAUCCCCUGUAACAUAUGUAGAUUUUCACUGAACAUAAAACCUGGAAGGAUAUGAGAUGCCUCCAAAUGCUUCAGAGAGGCUAAGAAUCUCAAGAUGCAUUCAGAAAAGUAAAAGCAUGUUCACAUAGCAUAUUUUUAGGCAGAUAACUAUUAAGGAAGAGAGUAAUCAAAGCAAAAAUGAUGACCCUAGUCUUACUUUAGUCAAUACAAAUUAACAUGUAAAAUCAUGGAUAAAGCCAUUCCAUAAAUUAGUAAUGCCUUGUUAAUCUUCAUUAGAGAGAGAGGAAAGACUUGACAAUUAAAAGGAAAAAGAAAAUAUGGUAACUAGCUGGCACGUUAACAGAUGUUACGCAAAAUUCAUUAUUGUGUAUUUUGCCCAACGUUGUUGAAGAGGACUUGUGGUGGGGAAAAGACCACCAAGAAAACAAGCAGGGGAUUAAUUAAAUGGGGUGAUUUCUUCACAGCUCUCCUCAUCAUUUAUGUUUCAUUGAACUCUAAUGGUGAACAAGGCCAGAAGCCAAAGAGUAGAGUUUACGACAAACUUGCAAGCAAAAUUGUCAUGCAGUUGUCCUUUCACUAUGUACUGACACACUGUUGUGUCCCUGGCCCUAUCUUCUUGCAUUCUCUCCAGUUUGGCUUGAUCCCCUUUGGACCCUACUGUCCUGCUCACUCCUCCCCUCUCAUCUCUUCUCUCUUUAAAUUACCUGCUCUGUAACUCACCCCAAACAGCCUUUUUCCGGGCUCAUCAAAGAAGAGGCAGUGCCAACCAAUGAAUAGUCUCAAAUGAUCCCUUUGAAAAAUCUUCAGUGGGAGUCAGUUGUGUAUAAACAACUGAAAAUGAGACUUUCAGACUUCCGUUUUGGUGCUUAAUGAUGCACCUCUACCCAGACUCUAUAUCAAACUUGGGGGUGGAGGGAGAGAAGGAAUUUUCCUUUUUGUUCUUUUUUGUUUUUGCUGUUUGAAACAGCACUCUGAUAAAUAUUCUCACCAAUUCUUACCCUCUUGUAUUUUUUAUUUUGGAGAAUUUGUCUCCCAAAUUAAGAUUUAUUGGUCAAAGGAAUGUGCAUUUAUCAUAUUGAAAUAGAUUUGACAGAUCUCUUUCCCAAAAUGCAUAGCAAUUCCUGAUCACACAGCACUGUGUGAGGUUGCCAAUUUCCCCUCAUAUCUCAUAUUCACCAGCUCUGGUUGUUUUCACCUUUUUUUUUUUUUUUUUUUUUUUUUUUUAAUGGCCACACCUUCAGCAUAUGGAAGGUCUGAGUACAGGAGUCAAAUUGGAGCUGAAGGUGCAGGCCUACACAACAGCCACAGCAGCACCAUAUAUAAGCCACAUCUGUGACCUAUGCCACAGCUUGCAGCAAUGCUGGAUACUUAACCCACUGAGUGAGGUUAGGAAUCAAACCUGAAUCCUCCAGGACACAAUGUUGAGUUCUUGACCCACAAGCCACUCUUGUUCUUGUUCUCCUUUUCCUCCUUUUUCUUUUUCUUCUCCUUCUCCCUCUCUUCCUUCUCCUCCUUCUUCUUUUUCAUUUACAGAUAUUGAUAAGGCUUCAAAAAAAAAAAACAUUGUAAGAAGUAAUCAGCACAUUCCAAGUGUUUAAGUGGAAUCAUUGAUAUAUUCCAAGUAAUAGGUUGAGUCUUAAAGAUAUUCAUAGUAAAGUUUAUUUUACCAAGAAUUUUGUUAUUGUGGAUCAAAAUCAUGGGUGUUAAAAACAAACAGAAAGGUCUUUGUAGGUAAACAGCCCAUUUGCAGACAAUCAAAUUUCCUCCUGCUGCAUGAGAACAGCUAUCCCCUGCUGCUUAUGGCUCCCAAAGAGUGAAAUGAUGGGGGCAGUGAGGGAGGUUGGGGGAGAGCUCACCACAUGCUCACCACUUGCCUUUAGAUUUUAGGAGAGCCCAACCAUGACUUUCAGAAAAUGCAGUGUGUCCCUUUCCUCUGAACUCAAAAUCACAAG
Molecule: long non-coding RNA, 2970 nt
Filed under: Sus scrofa (pig)
Lineage: Eukaryota; Metazoa; Chordata; Mammalia; Artiodactyla; Suidae
Description: lncRNA (ENSSSCG00000057878.1)
Source: RNAcentral